This 327-nucleotide ribosomal RNA is filed under the name uncultured bacterium. RNAcentral's name for it is "bacterial SSU rRNA". It matches the Rfam family "Bacterial small subunit ribosomal RNA", at positions 30 to 353 of the family's 1533-position model. The record is from RNAcentral.
AUUGAACGCUGGCGGCAUGCCUUACACAUGCAAGUCGAACGGCAGCGCGGGGCAACCUGGCGGCGAGUGGCGAACGGGUGAGUAAUAUAUCGGAACGUACCCUGGAGUGGGGAGUAACGUAGCGAAAGUUAACGCUAAUACCGCAUACGAUCUAAGGAUGAAAGUAGGGGCGUUCGCAAGAACCUCAUGCUCCUGGAGCGGCCGAUAUCUGAUUAGCUAGUUGGAGGGUUAAAAGGACCUACCAAGGCUUCGACCAGUAGCUGGUCUGAGAGGACGACCAGCCACACUGGAACUGAGACACGGUCCAGACUCCUACGGGAGGCAGCA